Molecule: small RNA, 60 nt
Filed under: Aplanochytrium stocchinoi
Lineage: Eukaryota; Bigyra; Thraustochytrida; Thraustochytriidae
Description: partial Mitochondrion-encoded tmRNA
Source: RNAcentral
GACAUUUCUAUAUAAAUGGAAAAACUAAAACACAAAUCUAUAAGUGAAUAUUCAUAGAAU